UGAAAAAUUACAAGUUAGUUUUAUUCUAUUUGACAUUUCACUCUAAAAUUGUGUAUAAUAAAAUAUUCAAGGUAUUAUCCUAACCUCACAAAGCUGGAAUUUUGAAGUUAUCCUCAAGCAUGGUGAUUAUCUAAAAAUGAGAUUUGCAAAAGCAGAACAAGACUACCAUUAAGAUCCUGCAGCCAUUAUCUCUCCAUGAACACACCAAUUUCAACAGCUGUUCAGGCAUUUAACUACCCUCCCAAGAACUACAGAAACAAGACAAGGGACAACAGUGCAUUGUUUUAGUAUAACAAUAAAAGACACAUUGAAGAAGGCAAGAAGAAUUUGCUCAUAUCAAUCCUAGGAACAUCCUGGUGGAAGAGUGUGGUGAAGAGAAGCGUCUCAAGACAUCACACCAGGAAGCAGAAAGAGAAAACUCUAUUCAAGAAAUAUAUCCCCAAAGCUACCCCCCAAUGACUCAUCUUCUUCACCCACACCCUUUCAACCUACAGUCACCAGUUAAUCCAUAUUGGAGGAUUAAUGCCUGAUAGGGUUAAGGCUUUCAUAACCCAAUCAUCUCAAUUCUAAACCUUGCAUUGUCUCAUGAAUGAGCUUUAGGGAAAACCUCAUAGCUAAACCAUAACACUUAGUAAUGGUAUCUCUUUUCUCUAGUUGCUACCUAAGUUAUAUAUCCCUAUUUAUUCUUUUUAUUGAUAUUAUAGUUUUCUAAUACCAUAUUAACAUAAUCAUUUGUUUCCUGAUAAGUCUUGAUUAAUAUGAUAAUUGCUACCGGGAAUGGGCUGGUACUCAUGAAAACUCUUGUCUCUAAAGACUUGUAUUUUGAAUUAUGAAUAAUAUUCUGUAGCUAACACCUUAAGCUUUAUAGUUCAGUAUCCUGAUCUCUAAAACACUGUUUAUUCCUCCCAUUUUUAUGACCUUCAGUUCUAACAGCUGUUAAAAUGUUUUAACUAUGUUUCAUUAUGACUCUUGUAGCAAUAGUAACUAAUCCUUGACAGCACAGAUUUAUAAUUCAAAGUAAGAGCCAAACAGCAUAGCUUUAAUUUGUUUUAAAUGCCUGGAUAGUACAGUACUGUAUUGUAUGCUUUGAAGUAAUUAUACACGUGUAGUUUACUAAUGGGCAUAGAAGCACUUAAGUUUGCUUCAUUUAUGAAUUGUAUUUCAGUACUCAUAUUCUUUCAGAUUAGAUGUUGAGAAUUUUGUUAGUUAAAUGUUAAAAUAAUAAACAUUCAAGAAUGAGAAUUUAUUAUUUUCUAUAAUUACAGAAUUAAAUAAUGUUAAAAAUAUAUGCAUUAAAAUGUGAUGUCAAAUGUUGAAUCAUUUUUUAUUCCUGUACAAUUACAUAGCUUUGACUAUUCCAAAAAAAAAUCUAUGAUUUUUAAGUCACUACACAUUUGCUGAAUGUAGGAAUAAAAAUAUAAUAUGCAAAUGGAUUUUAUUUUAGUGAUAGCUAACAUAUCUCUUCAAGUAGCGUUAUUUUGCUUCAUGUUUUGUCUAAUUCUUAUUUUUUAAUGUGUAUUGAUACUCCCCAGGGCUCUCUUCUCUUUUUCUCUUCUGGAGAUUCUCAAGAGGCCUUCAGUGGUUUCGUCUUUCAACAAUGAGCAUUUAGCAGGAUGGUAGUAAAAGCCAUGUGGCUGAAACUGAUUCCAGGCCUCAAGGUUCAUCCUCAAUCAACAGUAUUACCCCUCCAGUUGCUGUCUGAAUUGUUAGAGGACAAAAGGGAAACCAGAAAACCCAAGAGAAAAUUCAAUAGAAUGAAUAAAAUCCAACAGAGCCAAAGAGGGAGCAGAGGAGAACAACAACAACAACUGAUAUAUCAAGGGAGAACAGCAGCCAAUUUGGAUUCCAG
Molecule: non-coding RNA, 1849 nt
Organism: Marmota flaviventris (yellow-bellied marmot)
Lineage: Eukaryota; Metazoa; Chordata; Mammalia; Rodentia; Sciuridae
Source: RefSeq, a predicted model, not a curated record